This 1854-nucleotide long non-coding RNA is filed under the name Linum usitatissimum (flax). Its description in RNAcentral is "long non-coding RNA (LUSI_LNC004733)". Lineage: Eukaryota; Viridiplantae; Streptophyta; Magnoliopsida; Malpighiales; Linaceae. The record is from RNAcentral.
GCGUGCAUAGGUGCACGGCGUGCAACCCCUCUGCUCAUCAAUUUCAUUUCUCAAUCUUCCGUUCGAGCUCCAACCGUGUUCUACUUCAUGUUCAUUGCUUCAUAACAAGACCACCUAUCUCUAGAGUACCUGUGGACAACAAAUACUACAAAGAAACACAUCAAAUGGACCGAAACGGUCCAAAUGAACGGGUCUAGGCACAUAAUGCCAAAACACGAAAUCACACAAGAAUGAAGCUCGAACAAACUAAUAAUCACUCAAAAAGCAUGCAUAUAAGGAUAGAUAAUUUUUACAAAUUCUACCCUUAUCACCAUCAUUUCAGGAUUUUUAACGAUGUUAGUGGAUCCAUUCUUUUCUUUGUUAUCUCUAGCACGUUGAUUAAAAUCUUUAGCAUAAUGACCCUCUUUACCAUAGUAAAAACAGAUAACCUUGGGUUAAAAAUUAUCAGAACCAGUUUUAUCUUUGUUUGUACCUUUCUUAGAUUUCCAAUUUUUGGCCAGCAGAACCUCAGUCUUAUUAUGAGAUUACUUUUCAGUUUUAGCUUUAGACUUUGACUUAAAAAUAUUAAGAACAUCAUCCUUUUGGGAGAUGGCCUUGGAAAUUUUCUUAACAGUGAACUCACCCCUCCUAUACUGUAUAACAUCUAUGAAGUAUUUUUCCUUUACCAAUAUAUCCUUUAUCUUGAUCUUCCAGAUGGAAAAGUCAAUACUACCAUCGAACGGUUUCAAUCAAGCACCAUCUGCCAUCUUUUUUUGGGAUUUCUCUGCGUAUACAUAGACAAUGGGAAUAGAGGUGAGAAAAUGACAAACACCAUAGAAACCAGUAAAAAAAAGCUCUAAUCUGACGAAUCAACGCUAAGGAGUACAGUUAACGAAGAACAAUCAAAACAUGGGAUCGAGAACACACACGAGCGGAAGCAAAUAGCAGAGAUGUACCCAAACGAGGCUCUGAUACUACUUUGAGGACCGAAAUCGACAAUUUAUGCAAACCGAUAGAGGCAGGGAUCACAAACGAACUAUUUGCAACCCUAAUCUACGCAUGCAUGAAAGUAAAUCCACACAUGAAUUAUUCACGCAGUUCAGGUAAAUCCUACUCUGCAGAGUCUCAGUGGGGGAGACGCAGCCCGAAUCCACUAUCACAAGUCACCAGAAAGAGUAUCGAGAGGAAUAGAGAGAACCCCGAUACAAAUCCAGGAAGACAACAGAGCAAUCAAACAACACAGAGGAACAGAAUCAACAAGCACUAGAGAGAAACAAUAUUCUCUGAUCUGAGCAAAGUAGAAGCUCCGAUCCGCAAUCCACCGUCUGGUCGUGAAGAACCCUAGCAAGCUGGAGAGGAUUCCCAGAUCCAGUUGAGAGAGAGCAGCUUGGAGAAAGAGGAGAUUAUUCAACUUCUGAAGACAACGUCACGGCCCCAGAUCCAGUUCCAGUGUCCAAACGCAUCGUUUCAAUAAGCGCUAAAGAAGGUUGACCAUCAUAGCCGGUCUGACCCAACCUGCUCAAAUAUAACCCAUACCCGGAUUUGAUUUAAGGAUAAAAUACUUAACAUUUACAAAAUGGUAAAAGCAAUAAAUAGAAGACUCACCUUGAUCUUCUUCUUCCUAAAUCACCAUUCAGCUGCAGAUUCUGACGAAGAAGACGACGAACCUCCCUUAAAAACCUUCUUUUCCUCACACUUACGACAUUUAAAGACUAAAACAACAAGAUCGUGUAUUCCCGAUACUAUGGGCGAAAUUGCAUAUUUACCGAAUAGGUUGUGUCUUAUUUGUGAAUUUUGUCCUAAUUAUUAUCUUUCGCAGGAGGAAGAGACAGGAGCAGGUGAUGAGUCAGUGCUCAACGUAGUUGGGUCCGCCAG